UUCCGACUAGCAUAUACCGACAAUAGCCCGUUCGCUAUUUGGAUUGUUUUAUUACGAAACUCGGUGAGCAAUGGGUUGCUUCAUAUUUAAUUGUAUAUUUUAUAUGAUUUGGAUAUUUCUAUUAAAAGGGUUUAACACAACGCCAAUAACGUUAAACUUGACCACGGAUGUAAAUGAUGUCUUCGUCAACAGCAGCAUCACGUUAACAUGCUCAACGUCAUCUACGCCGGUUGCUGUUACCUGGUUCAAAAUAGAAAAAGGAUCAAAAGGUGUGGAAACGGUCAUUAGUCAAAAGUGAGUGAAAGAAACUAAUUCGUGUCAAACAAACAACAAUGCUAUGGAGUGUCAUCACAGGUCUAUUCAUGUUCUAUAAAGUCGGUGAAUGUAUCAAAUGACGGUCAACGCUGGCUGUGCAAGGCUUUUAUUUCGAAUGUGAAUAUUGGAAGUAACAUCUACACAAUCAGAUUAGUAUUAAGCCGUGGCUUGUCAGUUUCCAAUCGUGUUGGAAUUUUAGUUGGAGUAAUUGGAGUGACAGUCAUCACAGUUAUCAUAGCUAUUGCCACGGCCUGUAUCUGCAAAAACAGAUUAAAGGAACAUUGCCUAACGAAAAGGACCUCAAGGACCUCGUUGACAAAUAUGGAAAUUUACUAUAAGGAUCUUAUCUGAGGACAGGGCAACAAAGACGCCUCAACACCAGAUGGAAGUUAUGCAAUCUGUAUAAUCGACUCAUCACAAUCCCGUAAUGCCAAUCAGUACCAAACACUUGUGGAUCUUGAUGGUCGUGAUUACUCGAUUUUGUCGGCUUGUAAUGCACAAAGAGACAAUACCACAUCUGCAAAGAUAUCCGCAUCGGGGCAAACUGAUGUUUCAACGACCAAUCCAGAAUAUGUAAAUUUACAGUUGUUCACUAAUUGAC
Long non-coding RNA from Dreissena polymorpha, 916 nucleotides. RefSeq lists it as uncharacterized. The record is from RefSeq and is a predicted model, not a curated record. The transcript has 6 exons. NCBI's taxonomy places the organism in Eukaryota, Metazoa, Mollusca, Bivalvia, Myida, Dreissenidae.